GAUGAACGCUGGCGGCGUGCUUAACACAUGCAAGUCGAACGGUGAACACGGAGCUUGCUCUGUGGGAUCAGUGGCGAACGGGUGAGUAACACGUGAGCAACCUGCCCCUGACUCUGGGAUAAGCGCUGGAAACGGCGUCUAAUACUGGAUAUGUGACGUGACCGCAUGGUCUGCGUUUGGAAAGAUUUUUCGGUUGGGGAUGGGCUCGCGGCCUAUCAGCUUGUUGGUGAGGUAAUGGCUCACCAAGGCGUCGACGGGUAGCCGGCCUGAGAGGGUGACCGGCCACACUGGGAUUGAGACACGGCCCAGACCCCUACGGGAGGCAGCAGUGGGGAAUAUUGCACAAUGGGCGAAAGCCUGAUGCAGCAACGCCGCGUGAGGGAUGACGGCCUUCGGGUUGUAAACCUUUUUUAGCAGGGAAGAAGCGAAAGUGACGGUACCUGCAGAAAAAGCGCCGGCUAACUACGUG
RNAcentral lists this ribosomal RNA (469 nucleotides) under uncultured bacterium. RNAcentral describes it as "partial 16S ribosomal RNA". It matches the Rfam family "Bacterial small subunit ribosomal RNA", at positions 28 to 507 of the family's 1533-position model. The record is from RNAcentral.